UCUUCUUCCAUGCCCUCGCCUCAGUGCCCCCUCCUCCCUGUCCCGCACGUGAUGCCCCACCAUGACAGCCGCCGCUCCAUCAACGACCUCGCCCUCCUUCCUCCACCGUCCCGCUCGCACGAAUCUCCUUCGUUGCGACACUAUCGUGGGCCUGCGGUGCAAGGAGAUCGCCACGCUCGUUGUUGGGGCCUCUGCGCUCUCCUCCUGGCACGACGGCAGUCGUGGUGAGCCCCGACCCUACUUCAUUCUUGAAAGCUUGGCACCUCCGCGCGGGAUUGGGUGGGUUGGUUUUCUAGCAGACUGGUGAGGUUGGUGGCCCGCGCCUUCUACGAUGACCACGAUGGGUGCAACCCGCCACAUGACGCCAACACUCGGUAUGCCGUGCAGCUGCUCGACGUCUGUGGUGAGCCCCGACCCUACGUCAUUCUCGAAACCCUAGCCGCAGUCGUUCCUGACCUCCGCGUGGUGUCAAGUGUGUUCGUUUUCUGGUAGGCUGGCGGACCGUGCCUUCUACAAUGAAGUCUCUAUGAACGGCGACAACCAACCAUUGAAUAUUUGUAAGCUUUUUUGACCUUUUAUAUGGCCUGGCACUUCAAUGGUAGACUAGUAUAGAAGGCAAAUUAAUGAAAUUGGUUGCAAUUACAGAUAGUGUGUUGCAAAUAGCUUCCUUCCAAUGUGAAAAUUGUUUUUUUUUCAGGCAGCAGAUCCAGGAUUUUGAUGCACUGCAGCACACAGUCUUUAAAGAUAUAGCGGUUCACAUAUGUGGGAGCGAGUCAAAAACAAAGACAUGCAAAUGUUGAUAUUUUAAAACUGAAUAAGUCUUACUUUCUAAUUUGCAUAAACGUUGUUUGUGCUUUAGGUAUUUCAGUAAUGCCAGUCAUCCAAUUUUAUCUUUUACUAAGUUCAACAUUGAGAUGGACCAUAAAACAUACCUCUGUCCCAAAAUAUAGGUACUCCUAGGUUUGAGUCAAACUGUUUUAGUUUUGACCAGGUUUAUACGAAAAAUAUCUACACAAGUACAUUGUAAAAAGUUAUUUUAUAAUUGGUAUAGCGAUACUAAUUUAGUGUUCUACAUGUUGAUAAUUUUUACUAUGAUUUAGUCAACCCUAACUUCGUUUUAACCAAAGAAUUUUGGGAUGGACAAAAUGGUUCUUUCAAUAACCCAUUGUUUUGUUUUAUAUGUUGAUCAGCUCAUCACAAUGGCUUUGAUAGUGACUUUGCUUUUUAAGGUGCAGUCAAUACACAUGGCAUCUAGCAAAUCAUAGAAGAAGCUAUUUGCAGAAGAAGUUAUUUGCACAGGAAACACCAUGCUAUUGCCACCCCUCUCCGUGGCACCUGAUGGAUUCGUUCUUUGGGGAAACAUUUUGUUGGCUAGGAAACCCACUUAUUCCGCGUGGGUCACCAGCAUCUCUUCGAAUUUGUAAGGCAAGGUUUAUGAUUUAGUGUUUCUUUCAAAGUAACUACAAUUGAUCUUUCUUUGCUUCCAACAUAAUCAUGUCAUUUAUUUUAACUUUCUUCAAUUCUUCUAACAUGGUAAGAUAUUUGUAAAGUCAGCGGUUUUGCAGAUACAUUUAUGUGACAGAAGUUGGCAGGUUUUGUAGUUCCACCAAGUCAUAUAGAUGGAAUAAAUAUAUCUGAAUAACUUAUGCUAGGAAAAAUUUAUGCAGUUUAAUGCAGUUUAUUUCAACCACCUUGACUUUUUCUUAUUUUUCUGUUGCUCCAGGAAUCAAGUAAAAUGUCAAAGAGAAAACUUGUUCUGGGGACUGUUCACUGAACUUAGCAGAUUAUGCAUCUGCUAGAUAAUCCUACCAUUGUCUGUGCCUAGCAGUGCAACAGACCUGGUCCCAUCACUCCAUCUUACUUUAAGCCUGGCAGAAGUAAGAGUAUCUCAACAGUCACCUGGUGCUUCACAGCGUUUUAUUGCUGUCCCAUUGUCACCUUCCUCUGCCGACUCGGUUCCUUCUGGAAAAGAUUAGGUUUCUAUCAUUAAGGUGGUCUUGAGAAAUAUAAAAGUCGUAAGAGAUCCCGUGCAUACACGGAGGUUCAGAAAGAGUCACCAAGACUAUGACGACAGUGAGAUGUAUUGUUUUCACAUUUAUUGUUGCAGAGUUUUCUUAUGACACCGACUCUCUUGAUGAUGAUCUGGAUGGCAGAGUGUAGGAUGAUGAGUUUGUGUGUUCAGCCAUCAGGAAGUCCUUUAGCUAUGGGUCGCUGUAGAUUAUGAAUGUCGGUGCCCUACUAUAUGCAUCUAGGAUCGAUGGAGACGAUGAGGGCUAGGUAAAUUACAGUCACCAGAAUUCCGAUGUCAGUUAUCAUGAUGAGUAAGUGCCAUCCUCCACAACCGAGGAGCAUCACUACCGGAUAACGGGUUUCGCCGAGUACAAGUGAUUAGCUGAGUGUUUUUUCAAACACUCGAUAAAUAAGCUCUUUGUCAAGUGUCAAAUAAAAACACUCAAUAAAAAACACUCGAUAAAUAA
This is a long non-coding RNA of Zea mays, 2477 nucleotides long. RefSeq lists it as uncharacterized. The record is from RefSeq and is a predicted model, not a curated record. The transcript is spliced from 3 exons. NCBI's taxonomy places the organism in Eukaryota, Viridiplantae, Streptophyta, Magnoliopsida, Poales, Poaceae.